Molecule: long non-coding RNA, 1591 nt
Organism: Mus musculus (house mouse)
Lineage: Eukaryota; Metazoa; Chordata; Mammalia; Rodentia; Muridae
Product: predicted gene, 26590
Exons: 2
Source: RefSeq, a predicted model, not a curated record
CCUAAAAGAACAAGGGCCAUGGAUUAAAGAAAUUCAGAUUUAUUUUGUCUGUGCUUUUUUUAUGUACUGUUAGAGCCAUUAGAUUAUAUGGGCUACCUUGCUCAUAAUAAAAAAUAUAAUUUGGAUAAGUGUUACCAGUACUGUAUAUAAUUUUUAGUUUUCAUGUAGUGAUUGACAAUAAUUUAAUCAAUAGCUCAUUUUAAUCUCUGUGUAGCCCUGGCUGUCCUGGAACUCACUCUGUACACCAGGCUGGCCUCGAACUCAGAAAUCCGCCUGCUUCUGCCUCCCGGGUGCUGGGAUUAAAGGCAUGCGCCACCAUGCCUGGCUUAGAUCAUCAAUCUUAGUACAGAGAUGAAGAAACUAAUAGCCUAGUAACCUAUUAGUUCUGUCACACACUCUCCAAUGAAGAACAAGAAACAUACUCGAAAGUAAAGAAACUCAGUGUGUACUUAUAGUGAACUCUCCUAAAAUGUCUGUGUCUUACUAGUAAACUGAUGCCCACUCUUUCUUUUUUUUCUUUUUUGUCAUAGGCUCAGUUUAUGUAGCCCCGGAUGGCUGGAACACAUGAGAUCUGCCUGUGUCUGUACCCCAGUGCUGCAGGGCUAAUCAAGUCCCAAAUGAAGCUUUUGAUGUUUUCAUCCCCACGGUAGUGUAGAAGACAGUACACGAGGAUGGCACGGCAUAUUGUCUCAACAUCUCUUUCAGUCAUGCGCCGCUUAAAUCGUCCGUGAGACAAAAUAUCUCUCCAACGUCCCCAACUAACAAAACAGGAAAAGUAAGCAACACAAAUAUUUUGGGGGACAUUCGAAUUCAGUGAUAUUUAUUUCCCUGGUUCCCAGAAUUGCCAUCUCCUCCAAGAGUAGAAAAUAAACAGAAACUCUGUCACAGGCCAAGUGUCUUUCAUGUGGUGCUUCUUGGCCACGUUGUCCAUGGUGAAAGUCAGGCAGCAUGCACAUGCCCUACUGCUCACAGAAAGCUGCAUCUUACCCAUAUACCAGGAGAUGCUUUUCUACCCGGAAGCAGUCAGUGCGCCCAUAGGUGUGAUGCCGGUCAUGUCUUCGGGAACGUGGCCGUUCAUCAUCUUCACUUUCCAAAUCAGAAAACUCAACCAGGUCAUCAUCUUUCAAAGUGCUGAAGUGUCGAGUCUGUUUCCGAACUCGAGGUGUGUCGAUCACUAAGUUAUUCUAUAUAGAAAAAGGACAUAGAACUAUGAUAUGCUAAUAUGACGUAAUCUUGAAUUUGAAUAAGUUACCAAAGUACUCAAAUUUUUAGAGAAUGUAAAACAAUCUACAAGGCUCAGGAAGAAAAAGAGGUGGACAUCUGUGGAUCAUAGCUUUGAAUGCUUUGUCACUGAGAACUGGCACUAUUAGAAAGUAUAAGGACAUGUGGCCUUGUUGGAGGAAAUGUGUCACUUGUGAUGAGCGUUAAGCUAGGUCAAGUGUCUCUCUUUUCCUGCUGCCUUUGGAUCCAGAUGAAGAACUCUUGAGCUACCAUGUUUGCUUGCUUACCACCACGCUUCUGGCCAUGAUAAUAAUGGACUAAACCUCUGAAACUGUAAGCAAGCAUCAAUUAAAUACUUUCCAUUAUAAGA